This 585-nucleotide ribosomal RNA is filed under the name uncultured bacterium. RNAcentral describes it as "partial 16S ribosomal RNA". It matches the Rfam family "Bacterial small subunit ribosomal RNA", at positions 355 to 937 of the family's 1533-position model. The record is from RNAcentral.
UGGGGAAUAUUGGACAAUGGGCGCAAGCCUGAUCCAGCAAUGCCGCGUGUGUGAAGAAGGCCUUCGGGUUGUAAAGCACUUUUAUCAGGAGCGAAACGCUGUCGGCUAAUACCCGGCGGAACUGACGGUACCUGAGGAAUAAGCACCGGCUAACUUCGUGCCAGCAGCCGCGGUAAUACGAAGGGUGCAAGCGUUAAUCGGAAUUACUGGGCGUAAAGCGUGCGUAGGCGGUUUCUUAAGUCUGCUGUGAAAUCCCCGGGCUCAACCUGGGAAUGGCAGUGGAUACUGGGAGGCUAGAGUGUGUCAGAGGGUGGUGGAAUUCCCGGUGUAGCGGUGAAAUGCGUAGAGUCGGGAGGAACAUCAGUGGCGAAGGCGGCCACCUGGGACAACACUGACGCUGAGGCACGAAAGCGUGGGGAGCAAACAGGAUUAGAUACCCUGGUAGUCCACGCCCUAAACGAUGCGAACUGGAUGUUGGUCUCAACUCGGAGAUCAGUGUCGAAGCUAACGCGUUAAGUUCGCCGCCUGGGGAGUACGGUCGCAAGACUGAAACUCAAAGGAAUUGACGGGGUCAUAGCUGUUUCC